This 392-nucleotide ribosomal RNA is filed under the name Bradyrhizobium sp. TUTMP2.9. RNAcentral's name for it is "bacterial SSU rRNA". It matches the Rfam family "Bacterial small subunit ribosomal RNA", at positions 147 to 573 of the family's 1533-position model. Lineage: Bacteria; Pseudomonadati; Pseudomonadota; Alphaproteobacteria; Hyphomicrobiales; Nitrobacteraceae. The record is from RNAcentral.
CACAGGGAAACUUGUGCUAAUACCGGAUAAGCCCUUACGGGGAAAGAUUUAUCGCCGAAAGAUCGGCCCGCGUCUGAUUAUCUAGUUGGUGAGGUAAUGGCUCACCAAGGCGACGAUCAGUAGCUGGUCUGAGAGGAUGAUCAGCCACAUUGGGACUGAGACACGGCCCAAACUCCUACGGGAGGCAGCAGUGGGGAAUAUUGGACAAUGGGGGCAACCCUGAUCCAGCCAUGCCGCGUGAGUGAUGAAGGCCCUAGGGUUGUAAAGCUCUUUUGUGCGGGAAGAUAAUGACGGUACCGCAAGAAUAAGCCCCGGCUAACUUCGUGCCAGCAGCCGCGGUAAUACGAAGGGGGCUAGCGUUGCUCGGAAUCACUGGGCGUAAAGGGUGCGUA